RNAcentral lists this ribosomal RNA (362 nucleotides) under uncultured bacterium. RNAcentral describes it as "partial 16S ribosomal RNA". It matches the Rfam family "Bacterial small subunit ribosomal RNA", at positions 338 to 697 of the family's 1533-position model. The record is from RNAcentral.
CCUACGGGAGGCAGCAGUGAGGAAUAUUGGUCAAUGGACGGAAGUCUGAACCAGCCAUGCCGCGUGCAGGAAGACGGCUCUAUGAGUUGUAAACUGCUUUUGUACAAGGGUAAACCUGAAUACGUGUAUUCAGCUGCAAGUACUGUACGAAUAAGGCUCGGCUAACUCCGUGCCAGCAGCCGAGGUAAUACGGAGGAUCCAAGCGUUAUCCGGAUUUAUUGGGUUUAAAGGGUGCGUAGGCGGAUUGAUAAGUUAGAGGUGAAAUGUCCGAGCUUAACUCGGGAACUGCCUCUAAUACUGGUGAUCUAGAGGGUAGAUGCGGUAGGCGGAAUGUAAGGUGUAGCGGUGAAAUGCUUAGAGAU